UAAUCCCUCUGGGUAGUGGUUUUACCUGGGCCUUUGGCGCGGGGAAGUGUCCGCGGUGCUACGGCACCAGGAGUUUCCCCCGCUUAAACGCGGAGAAAGCUAGCCGGCGAUGCCCCAAUGCAACGACUUGUAGAAUGUCUAGCGUCGUGAUGCUUCUGGAGCUCCCGGCCUCUGAACAAUAGGGACCUCUCAGGUCUCAGAU
This 202-nucleotide unclassified non-coding RNA is filed under the name uncultured Dactylella. Its description in RNAcentral is "sequence contains ITS2". The record is from RNAcentral. Lineage: Eukaryota; Fungi; Ascomycota; Orbiliomycetes; Orbiliales; Orbiliaceae.